GAUUAUGACGUACUUGUACUGAUUGAGAUUUUAACACGAAGUGAGUGGCGAACGGGUGAGUAACACGUGGGUAACCUGCCCAGAAGUAGGGGAUAACACCUGGAAACAGAUGCUAAUACCUAACACGUGGGUAACCUGCCCAGAAGUAGGGGAUAACACCUGGAAACAGAUGCUAAUACCGUAUAACAGAGAAAACCGCAUGGUUUUCUUUUAAAAGAUGGCUCUGCUAUCACUUCUGGAUGGACCCGCGGCGUAUUAGCUAGUUGGUGAGGUAAAGGCUCACCAAGGCAGUGAUACGUAGCCGACCUGAGAGGGUAAUCGGCCACAUUGGGACUGAGACACGGCCCAGACUCCUACGGGAGGCAGCAGUAGGGAAUCUUCCACAAUGGACGCAAGUCUGAUGGAGCAACGCCGCGUGAGUGAAGAAGGGUUUCGGCUCGUAAAGCUCUGUUGUUAAAGAAGAACGUGGGUAAGAGUAACUGUUUACCCAGUGACGGUAUUUAACCAGAAAGCCACGGCUAACUACGUGCCAGCAGCCGCGGUAAUACGUAGGUGGCAAGCGUUAUCCGGAUUUAUUGGGCGUAAAGCGAGCGCAGGCGGUCUUUUAAGUCUAAUGUGAAAGCCUUC
Molecule: ribosomal RNA, 627 nt
Filed under: Pediococcus pentosaceus
Lineage: Bacteria; Bacillati; Bacillota; Bacilli; Lactobacillales; Lactobacillaceae
Description: bacterial SSU rRNA
Rfam family: Bacterial small subunit ribosomal RNA
Source: RNAcentral